RNAcentral lists this ribosomal RNA (424 nucleotides) under uncultured bacterium. Its description in RNAcentral is "bacterial SSU rRNA". It matches the Rfam family "Bacterial small subunit ribosomal RNA", at positions 358 to 773 of the family's 1533-position model. The record is from RNAcentral.
GGAAUAUUGGGCAAUGGGGGCAACCCUGACCCAGCGACGCCGCGUGGGUGAUGAAGGCCUUCGGGUCGUAAAGCCUUGUCAAAAGGGAAGAAUGUUUCUGACGUAAAUAGCUUCAGAAAGUGACGGUACCUUUGAAGGAAGCACCGGCCAACUCCGUGCCAGCAGCCUCGGUAAGACGGAGGGUGCAAGCGUUGCUCGGAAUUACUGGGCGUAAAGGGUGCGUAGGCGGCUUUUUAAGGCUGACGUGAAAGCCCAGGGCUCAGCCUUGGAAGUGCGUUAGAAACUGGAAAGCUAGAGUGCCGGAGGGGAGAGUGGAAUUCCUGGUGUAGCGGUGAAAUGCGUAGAUAUCAGGAGGAAUACCGGUGGCGAAAGCGACUCUCUGGACGGUAACUGACGCUGAGGCACGAAAGCGUGGGGAGCAAAC